CGCUAGGUGGAUCUGCUCUCGUGCGUUAGACAGUGUCAACUGUAAUGAAGGGCGGGAGGGCACGCGAACUAUCAGUAUGUCGUAUAAAGAAUAUGAAGAUAAUGUGUUAUCGUUAGCUAAAGACUGGUGCUCAGAUGUAAACAGUGAAACAUUUACUUCUUUGCUUCAAGAAUUGAUUUUUCAUCUCAGUGGAAAACAUAAAGAUGAAGUGUUCCGUCUGUUUCAAAAGCAAUUACAAAAGCUUAGACAAGGAUGUAGCUAUGAUUCACUGGAUGAAGCUGAUGAGUUCAGCAUAGCAGAGGAAAUAAAAAAUAAAAUUGCAAGUAGUCAUGGAGAGAGAGAAGCAAAUCGUUUCUCUGGUAUUUACCGGCAUCUUCGAGGAUGUACUCUUCUAACCAACUUGAGAAACACCUUGGCCUUCAUGCAGAGAAGCGCUGUACAAGAAUCAGCGGAUGAUGCAAAUUCAUCAUUUGACUCACAAAAUUUAUCAUUGAGAAAUAUUACUAUUCGUAGUUCAUCACAGGCUUCACGAACACCAUUUGCAUCAACAAUUCAAAGACACCCAGACAUGUUUGACACUGUGUCAUCUCUUCCAUCCAAUUUUGCUUCUAACACUUUAUCAGAUGCUUACCAUUCAUCCAGAGCCAUUUCAUAUGCUCAUGACUUGCCACAAGGAACCAUUGCUCACCUAAAUGGGUGUCCAGUAGUAAUGCCUGUACCACCACCGUCCAGAAACCCCUAUAAGAUGUCAGUAUCAGAAACUGUCUUGAUCCAAGAACUGAUAUAUUGCUUUCAAGGAAUAGGAGGAAAAAUCUUAAUAGAGGAUCCUGUCUCUCAAGGCUUCAAAAUAGAUCCAAAGGUGGACCUCCGUCCAUCGGUCCGGCAGCAAGUACUCCGUUUGGCGGAGGUUGGGUGGCUGCACAACCAAGUGCGACAGUUCUGCGAUGCUACGAGACCGGCUGGACUUGUUAACCAGAGCCUAGUAGCUGCCCUACAUGAUGAACUGACAGAAUACUACAGAUUGAUUGCUGUACUGCAGUCUAGGUUACAGAAGCAGUCAGAGGCUGUAGUCGAUUCACCGCUAGCAGAAGAGCAACUGCCAUCACUGACAUUGAGUCAAUUGGCAGUAUGUGUACGGAGCCCCACACUGAGGUUGCAGCUGUUGCUGUCACUGGCAGAAGCAUGCCGUGGUCGUCGUGGUGGUGCUCUAGCAUCCUGUGUACAUAGUUUUUUGCAGCACGGUGAUCCAAAUUUACGCCGUAGUGUACGCACACUCUUGGCAGCAGUAUGUCGUCCCAUGUAUGUAAUGCUAAGUCGGUGGAUUUUGGAUGGGGAAUUGGAGGAUCCUUAUAAUGAAUUCUUCAUAGCUGCAAAUCCUGAUGUGAAAGGAGACCGCUUAUGGCAUGAUAAAUAUUAUGUUCAGGAAGCUCUUGUACCAAGUUUCAUAUCUUUGGCACAAGCUCGCAAAAUUCUUGCUACAGGCAAGAGCAUAAACUUCCUUCGUGAAGUGUGCCAAGACCACACGCCUAUAAAAGGCCGUGAAGCCCUCAGGCUCGCUUUGGAAAGCACCAACGUGGAAGCACUCUUUGUUGAGGACCAGGAUGGAGAGCUGCAGGCAAUGCUAGAACAAGCUUACCGUGAAACGUCUCGUCGUGUUUUGGAUGUUCUCAACACUCAGUACAAAUUCAUGGAUCACCUGCAAGCUUUAAGGAGAUAUCUCCUGCUGGGGCAAGGGGACUUCAUUAGGCACCUUAUGGAGUUACUUGAACCUGAGUUGGCAAAGCCUGCCUCACAGUUGUAUCCUCACUGUUUAUCGGGGAUCCUGGACUCUGCUGUUCGUUCUACUAAUGCCCAGUAUGAAGAUGAAGAUAUUCUUCAGAGGUUGGAUGUGAGAUUACUCGAAAUGUCAAAAGGAGAUACUGGUUGGGAUGUUUUCACAUUGGACUACCAUGUUGUCGGUCCGAUAGGAACAGUUUUUGCUAUGAACAUGUCUUCCUACUUGAUGCUGUUCAAUGCUCUUUGGCGAGCAAAACGAAUGGAAUUUGUGCUAAGUCUGGCUGUCAAGCGACAGCUAACAGCUGCUAAGCAGAUGAGAUGUCUGCCUGGAAUGAAGCCUUUAUUGCAGAGAUUACAUCUCCUUAUCUCUGAAAUGGUGCACUUUGUACAUCAAGUGCAGUACUACACACUAUUUGAGGUGCUGGAAUGCUCCUGGGAGGCAUUCAACAAAGAAGUCCAGCAAGCAGAAGGCUUGGAUGAUGUCAUUAGAGCACAUGAUGCGUUCCUGGCAACAGUUCGUGCUGGGGCUUUCCUAGAUGAAGGAACACAGAGUUUGGCAGCCCAACUGCGGUCUGUGUAUGACUUGAUGCUACAGCUCCAAGGCCUAGAAGAACAGCUACACAAUAGAGCAUCAGUGGAGCUGGAAGCUCGUAAAGAGUAUGAGAAGCUAGUUGAAAAGUCUGGCACAAACAUAUCAAUGGAGGAAAGGGAAUCUACACGAGUUAAUGAAUUUACAAAUAAAUACCUGCCUCACAUGCGCACUCAAUUGAGUGUACUGGCUAAAAGCUAUCAGGAUUUGGUGAAGAAGUUUCUGCUCAUGUUGACAAGUCAACCAGAACUAACAUUGCAACUGUUGAGUUUCCGUCUGGACUUCAAUGAGCACUAUCGAAGAUCAGAUUCAAGGCUUAAUGCACCUCUUACAUACCAGCAUCGUCGUCUCAGUGAACUGGGAGGCAAGCAUCUGUCUCCAACAUGCGUCAAAUGACAGUCAGCUCCAGUACCUUCUGCUGAGCUUCAGAAGGUAAAGACCAACACAUUAACCUGGGAGAACCCGACGCAUUGACCUAAGAAACCCAUCUUCAUUUCCACAUGUAUUUCAUCUUUCCGAGUUUGCCAUUGGACACAAUAAUUUGGCACAAAACACCUGCACAUAAUCAGUCCUUGUACAGCACUGUUACUACCAUCUGCUACUGGAACCACCAUCUUCCCCAACACUGAAAGAUACACUUUCAGUUUUUUACCCAUGGCACUACCUCCCAAAAAAGGAAAAUAAACUGCUCUUUUUUGUGAGUGAAUAUGGUGGAUUGAUGAACCAGUGGCAGAUAAAACAUUGAUGCUUUUACUGUAGAUUGUGAUCUGUACAAAAAUCUCUCUAUAUUUUUGUACUGAAAUCAUAAGUGAAGCUGCACUUAAGAAGAAUGCUGCGAACCUGCUAAUUUUUGGCUCUCACCAAAAGGAAAAAUCACUGUAUCUUGUGUACACACAUGCCUCAAAUUCAUUUAGGGUUUAGUAUUGUUCAUUCAUGUCGGGUCUCGUGCUUUUGUUAAUUUCCAUCCCUUGUCAAAUCAUGCGAAAUUAGUUAGUUAUGAUAAAAAUGUAGUAUGUAAACUGUAACACAGUGUUAACUGUCGACAGAAAAUUCUGCCGUUUGAUAUUACUCAGUAGCAAGUAAGAUUUUAUGUUGUUACUUGUUUGCAAUCCUGAGUUAUCUCUUUUUGAACAUCUACAAUAGUCUUCAAUUUUCUUGUUUCAGAUCUCUGUUUCACUGUGAUGUGUAAGGCUGAUAUUUACCAGAUACUAUUUAUUUUUCUUUAUCCAGUAUGUUAGACAUUAGUAGCAUUUUCUGUAUCUGUUGAAUUAUAUUUUAUUUUAAAUUGUAGUCAUUUAUGUUGAUAUGUUUCUUGUUUUUUAUUUAAGAAUUUACCUCACUGUUGAUAAUAAUUUAAGGUCACUAAAGAAAUGUUUCUGUUAUUAUGUACAUUCUUUCUUUCUUUGAACAAAUUCUGUUUUUCUAGUGUCAGGUACUGAUAAUGUUGUUUUUCUACUCCUUUGUAAAUUCUGUAUUUCAAGUUUUAUAUUUUCUGUAUUUAAUUUGCUCAUGAAUUGACAGUUUUUGUGGAUUUAUGAUAUUUUAAAAACUCUUUCAUUUUUUUAUGACGUAAGUAGUCGUUUCUUACAGUAUCUGCAACAGCUACAGUUGCUGCUUUGACAAAGUAUUGUGUUUUUUUUGCCACAAUGCCAGCUAUUAUGAACUACGUAAGUGAAAACUUCUACUGGUAUUCCUUGCACUUCGUAAGCUCCAACAACCCCCUUGUCUAGUUCAUUAGAAAUCCAGCAGUCCUUCCCAGUUGUUAUUACACAUUCCCUUUUCUACAUCCUUAAGAUGUUCAUUUGUUUCCUUUCUAACUUUUUCUGCUGAACUUCUUGUCAUGUAUUUUCCCCAGUACCAAUUUCUUAAAUAUUCCAAUUUUCUCUUAUUUUCUCUAUCUCGAGAUGCCUCAAGCUUGAUACUCUUAAUAUGUGCAGAGGCAGUUUACCUAUAUCGCACAGGACUUGCAGCUAUAUUGCACAGCUUUUUGGAAAAGUUAACUUUUAACUGUUGUGAAUUGAAAGUAAAAAUACUGUUUGGAACUAUUUGUGCAUGAUUGUGUAAUAUUUUUAAACCAUUGUAAAUAAUUGAUCAUUGAAAUGUAUAUAUUUUCACAUGAUUGAAGAAUCAGUUCAUUAUUAUAUGAACUUGUCACAAUAGUGCCAACACAUUGUUUGCUUUACUUUGUUAAC
This is an RNA transcript of Schistocerca cancellata (South American locust), 4557 nucleotides long. It is a transcript of the gene named gamma-tubulin complex component 3-like, with no coding region annotated. The record is from RefSeq and is a predicted model, not a curated record. NCBI's taxonomy places the organism in Eukaryota, Metazoa, Arthropoda, Insecta, Orthoptera, Acrididae. The transcript has 17 exons.